UUGCCCCAUCGCUGCUAUCUUCUUCCAAGUCUAAAUUCGCCACCUCGCUGCCACUCCCCAAUGCUGCCGCCGGCUCUGCCCGGGUCACCAUGUCUGCCGACUGGAUGCCCGGCCAGCCCCGCCCACCCUACCUUGAUGGCUCCGCCCCUGGGUAAGAAUAAUGGAUCAAGUGUUUGAUAUUUAUCUUUGAAGCAGUAGAUCAUGUUUGAUGAAAAUUUUGGUGGAUGUGUGUGGUGUUUAUGUGUUUCAGUGACUUUGGAUUUGACCCACUUCGGCUUGGUGAAGUCCCAGAGAAUCUGGAGAGAUAUAAGGAAUCCGAACUUAUCCACUGCAGAUGGGCUAUGCUCGCUGUUGUAAGUUUCAUGCGAAAACCCAAACUUGGGUGGUUGCUACACUUUUGACGCGAUAACUUCAAUUACUUCCUGCUUGGUUGUUGAGAAAAUGGACGCAAGAAAAGAAAAUUGAGUUUCAGCUCUACUUAUUUUUGUUUUUCAUAAAGCUUAAACCUCAACUGAAAUGAGAUGGUUUCUGUAAUUUUGCAGCCGGGAGUCCUAGUGCCAGAAGCCUUGGGCUUAGGCAACUGGGUACAGGCUCAAGAGUGGGCAGCAAUUCCAGGAGGCCAAGCCACCUACUUGGGCAACCCAGUCCCAUGGGGCAACCUCCCGACAAUUUUGGCGAUCGAAUUCCUGGCCAUUGCCUUUGUUGAGCACCAACGCAGCAUGGAGAAGGACACCGAGAAGAAGAAGUACCCUGGUGGCGCUUUCGACCCAUUAGGCUACUCCAAGGACCCUGUCAAGUUCGAGGAAUACAAAGUGAAAGAGAUCAAAAAUGGUGAACACUCAUUCUCCUUACACUCUAACUCCCAUGUCAGUUCCCCUAAAUGCCUAUACGAUUAGCUCAUCUCAUUCACCUUGCUUUUUCCUCAAUGUGCAGGCCGCCUUGCAAUUUUGGCGUUCGUCGGGUUCUGCGUCCAACAGUCGGCUUAUCCCGGAACAGGACCAUUGGAGAAUCUGGCUUCUCACUUGGCAGACCCAUGGCACAACAACAUUGGCGAUGUCAUCAUCCCCAGAUCAAUUAUGCCUUGAGGAUGGAAUUUUAAUUUGAUCCAUACCCCACCGUAAAACUCCAUUUUAUCAUCUGUAAUGAAUCUGAGUUGCAUAUCUUUGAUCUAUGUAUGAUAAUUCCUAUUACUCAU
RNAcentral lists this long non-coding RNA (1195 nucleotides) under Vitis vinifera (wine grape). RNAcentral describes it as "long non-coding RNA (VVIN_LNC004075)". The record is from RNAcentral. Lineage: Eukaryota; Viridiplantae; Streptophyta; Magnoliopsida; Vitales; Vitaceae.